GGCCUCUCAUCGGGGAGCGACUAGCUGAGAUUAGUAAACAUUGGAUAAUGGUUACUUAAACCCGUACUACCUGAAUCAGAUAAUGCUGACGUAGGGAUUGAGAUGACAUUCUCA
Molecule: non-coding RNA, 114 nt
Filed under: Aliivibrio salmonicida LFI1238
Lineage: Bacteria; Pseudomonadati; Pseudomonadota; Gammaproteobacteria; Vibrionales; Vibrionaceae
Description: TPP riboswitch (THI element)
Rfam family: TPP riboswitch aptamer (THI element)
About the family: Vitamin B(1) in its active form thiamin pyrophosphate (TPP) is an essential coenzyme that is synthesised by coupling of pyrimidine and thiazole moieties in bacteria. The previously detected thiamin-regulatory element, thi box was extended, resulting in a new, highly conserved RNA secondary structure, the THI element, which is widely distributed in eubacteria and also occurs in some archaea. Analysis of operon structures identified a large number of new candidate thiamin-regulated genes, mostly transporters, in various prokaryotic organisms.
Source: RNAcentral